GAGUUUGAUCCUGGCUCAGGAUGAACGUUGGCGGCGUGCCUUACCAAUGCGAGUCAAACGGAACGGUUGAGGCUCUUCGUGAGCGCCCACAGACCGUGGCGUCCGGGUGCGUAACACGUAGCUAACCUACCGGCCGUUGACGGAAAACUCCGGCAAACCGGAGGUAAUCCCGCAUAUGUACGCCUGGUAGACAGGCGCACGAAAGCUGUGGUAAUUCAACCUGUAAUGGCGCCGGCUGAGGGGACAUGCGGCCGAUUACCUAGUUGGUGGCUUAAUGGCUCACCAAGGCAGUGUUCGGUAGCGUUUCUGACAGUGAUGAUCCACCACACGUGCACUGACAUAUGGUUCCGAGCCCUACGGGGUUUAGCAUGGAGGAAUCUUGCGCAAUGGGCGAAAGCCUGACGCAACGACGCCGCGUGGGGGAUGAAGGCCUUCGGGUUGUUAACCCCUUUUCUGGGGGUCGCCAAUCACGGUUCCCCAGGAAUUAACCCCGGCUAACAGGGUGCCAGCAACCGCGGUAAUACCUUGGUGGUUAACGUUAUCCGGAAUCCCUUGGCGUUAAGCGCUUGUAGGCGGCCCGACAGGUGUUCGGUUAAAGCCCCCGGCUCCCCCGGGGAGGGUUCGAGCCAACCGUCCAGCUAGAGGCAGGCAGAGGGCCGUGGAACGUUCGGGGGAGUAAUGGAAUGCGUAGAUUCCGGACGGAACACCAGAGGCGAAAGCGGCCGUUUGGGCCCGUCCUUACCCUUAGGGGCGAAAGCGCGGGGAACAAACUUGAUUAGAUUCCCUGGUAGUC
This 793-nucleotide ribosomal RNA is filed under the name uncultured bacterium. Its description in RNAcentral is "bacterial SSU rRNA". It matches the Rfam family "Bacterial small subunit ribosomal RNA", at positions 9 to 795 of the family's 1533-position model. The record is from RNAcentral.